This 103-nucleotide microRNA precursor is filed under the name Marmota monax (woodchuck). The record is from RNAcentral. Lineage: Eukaryota; Metazoa; Chordata; Mammalia; Rodentia; Sciuridae.
GGUGACAUUACUGGGUCAUAUAGUAAAUCUAUGUUUAACUUUUAAAGAAAUUGACAUAUUAUUUUCAAAAGUAGCUACAGCAUUGCACAUUCCCACCAGCAGU